Aegilops tauschii subsp. strangulata is the source of this 4297-nucleotide non-coding RNA. Lineage: Eukaryota; Viridiplantae; Streptophyta; Magnoliopsida; Poales; Poaceae. The record is from RefSeq and is a predicted model, not a curated record.
GCCAAACAAACCGCACGCACGUACGAGCAAUGCCUCCUGCUCCUCUCGAUCCCCUCGACGUACGAUCUGUGAUUGCAGACGCACGAGAUCGCUGCAGCCGCUGCUCCUCCUCUCCCGGGACGCAGCCGCCACCGCCGAACCAGGGAGACGCCAGCGACCGUCGCUGCCGUCGCGGAUAUCACCAGGAAGCCACCGCCACCGUCGCGCCUCGGAUAUGUCGCGGAUCACCGGGACGCGGCCGUCGCGGAUCAGGAACACCAGGACACCGCCGGCGGCGGCCCCUCGGAUACCGGCAACCGGCGGCGAUUGAGACCAACGAGGCGGCACCACACCCCUGGUACUUCCCUUCCCCAUCCGCCAAUCCUCUACCCCCUCCCCCCCUCCUCUACAAAGGCCCGUGCGGCCCUGUCCCUACGACCUCGCCGGCCACGACCAGGGAUGGCUGUGCAUCCCGACGCCUCUCUUCUCCAUUGAUCCCCCAUCUCCUCAAGGUGAAUCUUCUCCAGAAGGUACCCCUCUCCUCCCCGACGAGUACUCGCUUCCUUACAGGCAGGGGCGGAUCCACCAUGGGACAUGGGUGUACAGAUGCACAUCCAAAUUCUUUUGCCAAAAAUUCGUAUAUAGGUAUGUACUUUUUAUAUGACAGAAAUACUAGCUUAUAGGCUCAGUUCAGAGCAGCCCAAUAGCCGGCAACAAACCAGCAAACCAGCCACUUUUGUGUUGAACGCACACGACAGAGUGAACGAUGAUACCGUGAACUGAAUGUCUAGCUGCUAUUCAGAUUCAUUGUGAAAUCCCAACUGAAUGUGUAGCUGCUAUUCAGAUUCAGAGAGAAAAAUGUGUAGAUGACACUGAGUGAGGAUCUGCUUGAUUUCAUUAGCAGGAAAAAAAAUUAAUUAUCUUUGAAUUGUAGGCAGUAGAGCAUGUCUUGAAUUAUCUUUGAAUUGUAAGUUGUAGAUGACACCUGGUUAAGCUUGCACACCUUUUUUCUAUGGAUUUCACGGAGGAAGAUUUGAUGCAUAACUUGAUUACAUUAAUUGGGACGGAAUUCUUUUUUCAAGUGAACGAUGAUGUUGUCAUAUCUCGUCCUUAAGCCAUGACAUAUUGUAGUUUUCUCCUUCUAUUUUGUAAUUUUCUUAAUCUUUUCAGAUAUUGUUGCUAUUGUGAAAUUCGUAUUGCUGUGAACCAAUUGGCUUGACUAUUAGGGUGCAAAAAAAAGAGCACUCAAUAUUGAAUUUCUGGAUCCGCCACUGCUUAUACAGGCACGUAGUAUGGGCUGACUGUCAGGGUCCUGACACGGGCUCUCCUUGUCCUGAUCUGAUCUUGAUGCUACUCGGUCAAUCUAUGAUGUUUGUUUCCUGUGUUUACAUGGCAGAGUGGUUGCUGCACUCGCUUUUGGAUGUGGAUGCAAGUUGGGAACUCAUUCAGUGAUUUGAGGGUGCAGGUAGAGAUGAUGCUGCGGAUGGGAUGGGAAGAUGCGUGUGUGCUAGCUGCCAUUGCAGGGACUUUUUAUUUUUCGGAUAGUUCAGCGUCUUAUUACGAAUCUGAUAGUGCUAUCUGCCACACAUACACCAUGUUACGAAUCUAUUUACAUGCGACUCAGAGAAAGAAUUGCUUUGCAGGUACACACUUGCUGCCAACUGAUGUAUUGAACUUUCAAGGAUUUUGAUUGGUCGCCCAAAUAACCCAUUCUCCUUUUGUUGAUAUUUAUGAAGGAGAUCAUUAUUUCUCUUUUAGUUUCAGGCUGCCAACAUCACGAAUUUCAUACUUAUGGAGUGGAGCCACCAAACUAUUUAUGAGGAAAUAUGUUGAAGCACCUAAUAUAUUCCAUUUGCAGUGGACAAACAGAACAACACAACACAUAAGCAGAGGAAAGUAAGCGCAAACCUUUCUCUCUUUAAAUUCUUGAGGAUGGUAACAUUUUGUUACAGGUGUUCAAGAUUCAGUUCUAACAUUUUGGGGUUGCUAAUCCAUUGCAAGUAAUCAUUGCUUAACUGCAAUGUUAUCCAAAUUUCAUGUGACUUGAGUGCUAUCUCAUUUAGUUUUAUGGCUUACAAAUAACGUGCAAUUUUGAAAUUUUGUUUGUUGGCGGCCACAUUUUCAAUAUAACUCAGAAAACUAUUGAAUACGUUAUCAGUAUGGCCUCUGAAAAAUGAUGUUUUUUCAGAUAUGCAUCCACCUUCAAGUCCAUCCAUAGGCAUUUUAAGCAAUUCAUUUUGAAAGGGCUAUAUAAAUAGCUUAGAGAGAGACAUCUACUAGCAGUAGAAUGAAGCCUCCUUGUAGUAACUCUGUGUGAAAGAAUUGAUAUAAAAAACUAGAAAUAUAUAAAUAAUAUAUAGAAGGUAGAACCAUAGAGAGAUGUGUAUGUUUAAUUGGUAUAUUUUCAGUAGUAUAUUUGUGAAGCUGAUAUAUCUUUCUUUUAUAGGACAUGGUUGCUCUUGCUUCAUCUAAAUAGGCCGGCUGGAAUGCCAUGAGACCAGGUUCUGCGAAUUCUUGUUUAGGGAUCCGAUGGAGAGCUCGGAUAUGGCAUCGCAGCCGUUGAGCGACAGGGUCACGCCGAAGCUCCUCCUCGGCUGCACGGAUUGCGUCACUGUCAUGCCGGGCGAGCCGCAGGUAUGAUUUUCUUUGGUUUCCUCUGGUGGUCUUGGCAACAUGCGCUCCCAGGAUUACAAAUUCAACUGCCAGAUGGGCAGGAACAUGAUAGAUUUGGGUCGACAUGAUAUGUUCUGGAAGUUGAUUCAUUCAUUCGCCUAUUUAUCUGGUUUGUUGCCAUCCGAGGGUGGUCCAUGAAAUCAGGUCUCUGUAUUCUUUUUUUUUUCAAUCAAAGGGGAGCUACCCUGGCUCCCUUUCAUAGAAACGAAACCAAAGGUGUCUGUAUUCUCGAGAAAAUAAUCAUGACAUCUGUCAACUUUCUUUUUAGGAAUGGCUUAAUCAUAUGAGUUUGCACCGUUAACUUUUUCACAUCAUUUCUUUUACCACUUCGCUUCCAAUAAUUCAAACAACAUAUUAUGGCUUGUUUAGUUAUGGGAUCCCUAAUGUCCAGAUCUCAGCUUAGAACAUAGAUAGUAGCAAGGUAACAACGAAUAGUUAUAGUGCCUAUUCAGAUUCGACAAAACUGCAAAUGGAAGCAUUACACUUGCUGGCGUGAUGGAGGCUGAGGUCAAGUCAAAAGAAGAUAUGGGCCAUAUGGCCAUGCACUUGGCACGAGGAUCUUCGUCACGCGCAACUGAAAGUACAAACAUACAUAGCCAGGCAAGAUCGGGCUGCAAAGCAAGUUGCUGAUGAAGUGAAGUAGAUGAUUCAAAAUGAGAAGAAAUUCACUGUAUUUAUUUACGAUAGUGAACUUGAAUUGUUUUGGUAAACAAUUUCGUGAGCUGGCAUUACACCUAUUUUGGUAAACUAUUUCGAGAGCUGGCAUUAUAUCAUCCGUUGCGGCUCUUAUUUCAUGUGCCUUCUUGAAAGAGCACAUGUAGAAGAAAAUAUGGUGAAAUAAUAAAGUUUGUAGAGCAAGACAAUGGAUUCCAUCAACUCCCAAGUCUCAAGUUCUUCAUGUUUUCUGACCUAAAUAUUAACGUGAGGUGAAUGAAGAUGAUGUCAUGUCUUGUUGCAGGGUGAUUGAGGAGUAAAUGCAAAGGUACAAAGAGUAACUAAUAAGUGUGUUUGAACAAUGAUAGUUGUUCACAUUAGGCAUUUGCGUAGGUACUGUGUGCAGUUGCAACCCCCACUCAUAUGUGUGAAUUGAAUCUACUUCCUUUUCUUCCUGUUCAAAUAUAGGUAGAGCUGCAAGAGUGGUGGACAUGCAACACAGGGAGGUGAAAGAAGGGAGGAUCAGGAAGGAUGGAGGGAGGUGACAAAGCUAGGAGAAAGGAGGGAGACACCAAGGAAGGUGGCAUGGGAAGAAAGUGAAGUUGUGGCCCAAGGCUAGAGUGUGAUCGUGUAAAAUUGUUACCUUUCCAUCAAUGCUCAGGUUCAUUGUCAUUUUUAAAGUCUGGCACUUGAAGAUCUACACAAUUGUUGUCGAGGAAGAUGAUAAACUCAAUGAGGAUGAUAAUUGGGGUUAUUGUGAAGCUCGAUGUUUGGUGGAGUACUCUCGCGGUAAAGAGGACAAGGCAUGCAAACAUGAGUAACUGAUAGGUUUGUGUAAUCACUUCCAUUUUUUCUAGGAACAUUGAAUAUAAUUGAUUUUGUAAAGAAAGCGGUAGAGAAGACUGUACUUUUGGACCUUCAGGUGAAGCGGGAAUUAUAUCAUUGUGAUAUCAAAUAAUUGUUCAUUGAUUGUUUGAAUGAGUUGUUGACA